Molecule: non-coding RNA, 1226 nt
Organism: Pelobates cultripes (western spadefoot toad)
Lineage: Eukaryota; Metazoa; Chordata; Amphibia; Anura; Pelobatidae
Source: the annotation of a GenBank genome assembly
AUUUCAUCUGCCAUUUGAGUGCCCAGUCCCCCAGUCUAUCUAAAUCAUUCUGCAGCAAAGUAAUAUCCUCCUCGCAUUGUAUUACUUUACAGAGGUUUGUGUAAUCUGCAAACACUGAAACAUGACUUUCAAUGCUUUUUUCAAGAUCAUUUAUAAAAAUGUUAAAUAGAAGGGGUCCCUGAACAGAACCCCGAGGGACACCACUUGCCACCUCUGUCCAGCUUGAAAAUUUACCAUUAAUGACAACUCUUUGUACACUAAUUUUAAGCCAAUGUUCUACCCAAGAACAAGCAUUUUUUUCUAGACCGAUUUCCUUGAGUUUGAACACUAAUCUAUUGUGUGGAACUGUAUCAAAUGCCUUGUCAAAAUCCAAAUAGAUCAGAUCCACUGCAACACCCUGAUCUAUACUUCUACUUACUUCUUCGUAGAACACAAUCAAGUUCGUUUGACAUGACCUGUGUUUCAUAAAACCAUGCUGAUUUUUGCUGAUAACCAUGUUCUUUUCAAGGAAUUCUUGAAUAUUAUCCCUUAAUAACCUUUCAAAUAUUUUCCCAGCCACAGAAGUUAAGCUUACAGGUCUAAAAUUUUCAGGCAAGGAUUUUGAAUCCAGGAACUAUAUACGGUAACUACUGUGUAGUGAGAAGAAUACAGCCUGCUCAACCGCAUCCAACGACAUAGACAUCCACAUUUGAAAUGUGUUAAUGCUUACGAUGACUCUAUUUAAGUUAAUUCCAGUUUUUAUGUUUCAUUUAUUGUUCUGCAUAAUAUUAGGUUGUCGCUCUGCAUGAAAAGUGCCUAGUUCAGAUUGGGGGCUUUCUUGACCAGGGCAUAUCAAGGCAGCAUUAGAAAAAUACAUGGCCCAAAUUUCACCCCACUGCCCCCUUGGUGAGGGAUACUUAGUCUGGAUGCAUAUCCUACUUGCCAAUCAAGCUCAUUCAUUUUAUGCACCAUAGGUUUAUGGCUUGUUCUAGCAAGUUUUUAUACUACUGUGCAUGUUGGUGAGCAUUUGGUUUAUUUUCUCCUAUCCUAUGACACUUCCCUGCUAGAGAAGCUCAAUGACCACACUAACCUCUCACUUUUGAGGGACUAGAUUCACAUGUGACUCUGAUAUCGCUAGUUUAUUUUUAUUUAUUUUUUUAAAUGGUGCAUAAUUCAUAAUCUGUAUAUAUUGCUUUUAUUUCUAUAUUUUCUGUUCACAUAUCUCUUGUCAAAAAUGUGAUACCAAU